CAACCCCCAUCAAGCCCGGCUUGUGUGUUGAGCGCUGGCCCCCCAGGGGCCUGCUCCAAAUGCAGUGGCGGCGUCGCUCAACCAAGGGUGACCGAGCAUAUGGGAGACUUAUUCUGGAUGCUCGCACGCUCCCGGUGAACGCUGGCCUCGAACCCGACCCCUACCAGCUAGGGAUCGCUUCCAUUCA
This 187-nucleotide unclassified non-coding RNA is filed under the name uncultured Onygenaceae. RNAcentral's name for it is "sequence contains ITS2". The record is from RNAcentral. Lineage: Eukaryota; Fungi; Ascomycota; Eurotiomycetes; Onygenales.